Non-coding RNA from Pelobates cultripes (western spadefoot toad), 118 nucleotides. NCBI's taxonomy places the organism in Eukaryota, Metazoa, Chordata, Amphibia, Anura, Pelobatidae. The record is from the annotation of a GenBank genome assembly.
AUCCUCCUGUUCAGCUCCCUCGCGCGCAGCGUAGUGAUGCCGGAGCCGGAAUGACAUCAUAUUCCAGCCCCGGCAUCACUGCGGUGAGUGUGAGGGAGCUGAACAGGAGGAUUAGUGC